GGAGGUCCUACCUGCCCAGUGACAGUAAGUUUAACGGCCGCGGUAUUCUGACCGUGCUAAGGUAGCGCAAUCACUUGUCUUUUAAAUGAGGACCUGUAUGAAUGGUGGAACGAGGGCUUGACUGUCUCCCCUUUCUAGCCAGUGAAAUUGAUCUACCCGUGCAGAAGCGGGUAUAAAACUACAAGACGAGAAGACCCUUUGGAGCUUAAGACAUAAGGUCAAUUAAGUUAAGAUAAUUACCCACAAGAAAUAAACAAAAUUAAUAUCUGACCCCUGUCUUCGGUUGGGGCGACCACGGGGGAAAACAAAGCCCCCAUGAAGAUUGGGAAUAUCCUAAAACCAAGAAAGACAUCUCUAAGCCACAGAACAUCUGACUACAAGAUCCGGCACUCUCUGCCGAUCAACGAACCAAGUUACCCUAGGGAUAACAGCGCAAUCCCCUUCAAGAGUCCAUAUCGACAAGGGGGUUUACGACCUCGAUGUUGGAUCAGGACAUCCUAAUGGUGCAGCCGCUAUUAAGGG
Molecule: ribosomal RNA, 522 nt
Filed under: Gasteropelecus sp.
Lineage: Eukaryota; Metazoa; Chordata; Actinopteri; Characiformes; Gasteropelecidae
Description: LSU rRNA
Rfam family: Bacterial large subunit ribosomal RNA
Source: RNAcentral